UAUGGCCACAUCAUGAUAAAACACUGGUUCCUGUACGAGCACCGAAGUUAAGCAACGUUGGUCCUGGUCAGUACCUAGAUGGGUGACCGCUUGCGAAUACCAAUUG
Molecule: non-coding RNA, 106 nt
Organism: Acanthosepion pharaonis
Lineage: Eukaryota; Metazoa; Mollusca; Cephalopoda; Sepiida; Sepiidae
Source: the annotation of a GenBank genome assembly